This is a long non-coding RNA of Notothenia coriiceps (black rockcod), 117 nucleotides long. RefSeq lists it as uncharacterized. The record is from RefSeq and is a predicted model, not a curated record. The transcript is spliced from 3 exons. Lineage: Eukaryota; Metazoa; Chordata; Actinopteri; Perciformes; Nototheniidae.
GUAAGUGUGCACCCACAUGCAGUAUUUUUGUUUGUAUAUGCUGUUGUAAAUACUCCUGUUGUCUGAUGUGUUCAGACUCAAGUCAUGUUUGUGUAUACAGAACCUUCAAUGUCCUUU